GACGAACGCUGGCGGCGUGCCUAAUACAUGCAAGUCGAGCGAAGUUUUUCUGGUGCUUGCACUAGAAAAACUUAGCGGCGAACGGGUGAGUAACACGUAAAGAACCUGCCUCAUAGACUGGGACAACUAUUGGAAACGAUAGCUAAUACCGGAUAACAGCAUUAACUGCAUGGUUGAUGUUUAAAAGUUGGUUUUGCUAACACUAUGAGAUGGCUUUGCGGUGCAUUAGCUAGUUGGUGGGGUAAAGGCCUACCAAGGCGACGAUGCAUAGCCGACCUGAGAGGGUGAUCGGCCACACUGGGACUGAGACACGGCCCAGACUCCUACGGGAGGCAGCAGUAGGGAAUCUUCCGCAAUGGGCGAAAGCCUGACGGAGCAACGCCGCGUGAGUGAAGAAGGAUUUCGGUUCGUAAAGCUCUGUUGUUAGGGAAGAAUGAUUGUGUAGUAACUAUACACAGUAGAGGCGGUACCUAACCAGAAAGCCACGGCUAACUACGUGCCAGCAGCCGCGGUAAUACGUAGGUGGCAAGCGUUGUCCGGAAUUAUUGGGCGUAAAGCGCGCGCAGGUGGUUUAAUAAGUCUGAUGUGAAAGCCCACGGCUCAACCGUGGAGGGUCAUUGGAAACUGUUAAACUUGAGUGCAGGAGAGAAAAGUGGAAUUCCUAGUGUAGCGGUGAAAUGCGUAGAGAUUAGGAGGAACACCAGUGGCGAAGGCGGCUUUUUGGCCUGUAACUGACACUGAGGCGCGAAAGCGUGGGGAGCAAACAGG
RNAcentral lists this ribosomal RNA (768 nucleotides) under uncultured bacterium. Its description in RNAcentral is "bacterial SSU rRNA". It matches the Rfam family "Bacterial small subunit ribosomal RNA", at positions 28 to 776 of the family's 1533-position model. The record is from RNAcentral.